GACAUGGAUGUCCUGCAAUUUGUCAUCCAGCUGCCACAGAAUCCAUUUCCAGUCAAUCGUUUCAUCCUAAUUCCAGUCACCAAACCCAGCAAGACUUAAUUACUAGCUCUUUUUUUUUUUUUUUUUUUUUUUUUUCCUUUUUCCCAGUGCCUUUGCUUCUCCUAGGCUUGGUUUAAUGAGCAGCAAUGUUAUAUCAUGAAAGAAUCUCAAAACACCUAAUGACUCAAUCCAUCAUCAUUAUAACACAUCCAUGCCUACUGCAGAGGAGAUGCUGCUGAGGCUGAGCUGCAACAAUGUCACUUCCACCGAAAGCGAGGAGCCACCUCCUGGGACCAGCCUGAGGGACAAAUCCAGCCUUGAAAAACAGCCAGCAGGAUGACAUGCAGAUCAAAGGGGUAUUGCAGAGCUCAGCUGCAAGAGAUCCCUUAGAGACUUUUAAAAGCAUUUUAGCUCACCCUUAACUUCCUUGAAAUGGAGCACAGGUUCUCUCUGGAAGGAGAAGAAGCGCAGAGUUUGGUACAUGCCCUGAAAAGCACAGGCACCUGAGGAGUAUUGCCAUCUUCUGUACCUGUUUGCUCACUGACUGUGUAAUUUGCAAGAGGUUUAUUAUUCCUGUUGUACCGUUGGGAAAAUUACUCCACAAAUCUCUGAG
Molecule: long non-coding RNA, 652 nt
Filed under: Taeniopygia guttata (zebra finch)
Lineage: Eukaryota; Metazoa; Chordata; Aves; Passeriformes; Estrildidae
Description: lncRNA (ENSTGUG00000029272.1)
Source: RNAcentral